AACAUUGUGCCCUGAGAACCCAAGACAGCAGACGCAGGAUUGGAGGGAUUGGGGGACUUCCUGAAGAGACUAAGUACAAAGGUGACAAGUGUAAUUGGCGAUUGUCACCAUUUUUUUUUCAACCCGAGAGCUCUUUCUUCAAAACUGUCGCGUGUGGGCCAGCCUAGUCUACAGAGUGAGUUCCAGGACAGCCAGGGCUACACAGAGAAACCCUGUCUCUAAAAAACCAAAAACCAAACCAAAUCAAAACAAAAACUAAACUAGCUUCAUAACAAAAGAAAAAACUGCAGUCUGAUAAACUUUCACAUCCUCGUUCAGUUUCUGAAUGGCGUUCUCAUGGGAUUUCUCCAUACUAGGUUUUGCAGUAGUUUCUACAUUCAUAUUUCAAGGCUUGUGCCCAUACUGUAAUGCAUAGCACCUUUAAAAUUCUCCAUAUUAUCUUACUUACCAGUUUGGGUGUUUUGUCUGCAUGUAUGUCUGUUUACCAUCUGCAUACCGGGUGCCCAAGGAGGCCAGAAGACAGAGCUGGAUCACCUAGAACCGGAGUUACAGCCGUUACGAACCUCCUCGCAUGCUAGGAACCAAACCUGCUCCCUCUGCAAGAGCAACAAUUGCUCUUAGCCAAGAGCCGCCUCUCCAGCCCCUGUAAGGCAUAAUAACAGUGACAGACUUACUUAUCAGACUAAACAGUGAUACAUGCAUGGGUCACGCUUGAGCUCGUAAACACCUCACUGCAUCGCGCUCAAGAAUGCUGCUGCAUCGUGAAAGGCAGGCAAGCUGAGGUCUGCUCUGAAGAAUGCCAGAGAUCACUCUAGAAAAGAUCCGAGUCAAGAAAAAGAUGCUAAAGGUCCACACUGAGCCCAGGGCAGCUCUUGCCCAGGCUGUCACCUAUUCCUCCCUGAGAGAUUUUAUCAGUACAAGAUACGUUUUGUCUGUCAUAGGUUUUUCUCCCUAAAGCCUUCCAAACUCCCCCCACCCUCCCUGCCCCCAACUCUCAGCCCUGCUCAGAUUAAGAUGACAACCACCUGGCCUCAAGUCUCCCGUGAGACUGCAGGGUAGAGCCUGCAGAUAGAUUUGUACAACUUCCCUCCUGUUUGUCUAUUGUCAGUCUGGUCCAGUGUUCUGGCUAGUUUUAUGUCAACUUGAUACAAGGUGGUCAUCAGGGAGGGGGGAACCUCAAUUGAGAAAAUACCUCCAAUAAGAUCAGGCUGUAGCAAGCCUGUAGGGCCUUUUCUUAAUGAGUGACUGAUGGAAGAGAACCCAGCCCGUUUGUGGGUGGCACCACACCUGGGUUUUUGUCCUAAAUUUAUACAAGCAGGCUGAGCAAGCCAUGAGAAGCAGGCCAGUAAGCAGCUCCCUCCAUGGCCUCUGCAUCAGCUCCUGCUUCCAGGUUCCCGCACUGCUGGAGUUCAGGCCCUCACCUCUUUUGACAGUGAACUGUUACAUGGCACUGUGAGCAACAUAAACCCUUUCCUCCCCAAGAUGCUUUUUUUGUCAUAGUGUUUCAUCACAAUAGUAGAAACACUAAGACACCCAGUGACUCACAUUGUUGAGCUUUUAAAGAGUAGAGGGAUAUUUCAACUUCCCUCUAACUGAGAAGCAUCUUGACCAAGCCAUGGGAGGCAAUUAUUGUAGGCUUAAUGUUUUUUUGUUUGUUUUUUGUUUGUUUGUUUUUGUCAGAAAGCUUAGAAGCUAGAUUCUGUCUAGUGAGGCCAAGCUGAGCAAGCAGGGUAACUUCUGUAGCUUGGUCUUCUUACCUAGAAAAUGAGAUAACCGGGGGCUGGAGAGAUGGCUCAGGGGUUAAGAGCACUGACUGCUCUUCCGAAGGUCCUGAGUUCAAUUCCCAGCAACCACAUGGUGGCUCACAACCAUCCGUAAUGAGAUCUGAUGCCCUCUUCUGGAGUGUCUGAAGACAGCUGCAGUGUACUCAUAUAUAAUAAAUAAAUCUUAAAGAAAGAGAGAAAGAAAGAAAGAAAAUGAGAUAACAAUGCAUACAUUAUCCAGAACCUAGUGUCUUGAGAACAAAAUGUAAUGACAAAGGCUUUUGUAACUUCUGUACAAAGACAACAAAUUGCUGGUGUCUUCUCAGGUCAUCACUCUCCUGGGUCACAUGAGUUGUGCUCAGAUUGCAUCCCGACGCUUACUAGCCAGCUGUGUUACCCUGAGACCCCACUCCCAUGCCUCAAUUCCUCUCCCAGACAAAUAAAACCACGAAAAGACCAGCCUCGGAGGGCAGUAGUGUAUCCAGCUUAGUACAGAGUGAUACCGGAGAAGUUGGGGUCCCUCCUAGGGGCUCUCAGUUUUGUGAACAAAAGGAUUUAAGAACAGAUUCAUAGGAGAGCUUAAGGCCAACUUCAUUUAAUAUAAAUACCCAAGAGAAGCACGCGGUAAACCCGGACGGCUGCCUGGAAGAGGCUAGAGAAGAGAAAGAGAAAAAUCCCUGCUGCACGCACGAGUGAAGACUGCACGGAGAUGAGCCCCAAGGAGGACACUCGGCCACAGGGGAGCUUUAGAGAUAGGGCAAGGAAAGCCAAAGCCCCAAGAAAAGCACACUUGGGCUCUGGCCAGCUUCCAAAAGAGAGACAGAAGGGAAGGAAAAGGAAACAUUGUGCCUUUCUGAGAGCCAGGACUGAGGAAAAGCGGGCAGACACAGCAGGGCCUCAUGACAGCUCUGGAGCAGCAGCAGCCGGGGGAUUCCAGACGGAACAGUGUCUCACUGUAGUCACCUUUUUAGCACAGCUUUGGGUGGGCCUGCCUUCCUGAGGGUUGGAUCCUUGGCCAAACGAUUGACCCGCCCAACUGGAUUAACUUCUGUUUGUGUCAGAGACAGGGUCUCACUAUGGAGCCCAGGCUUGCCUGGAAGUGACUAUGUGGACCAGGCUGGCCUAGAACUUGAAGUGUUCCUACUGCCUUUGCCCCCAAAGUGCUAGAAUUAAAGGACUUUGACAUCG
Molecule: long non-coding RNA, 2951 nt
Filed under: Mus musculus (house mouse)
Lineage: Eukaryota; Metazoa; Chordata; Mammalia; Rodentia; Muridae
Description: predicted gene, 41611 (Gm41611)
Source: RNAcentral